RNAcentral lists this ribosomal RNA (1367 nucleotides) under uncultured bacterium. RNAcentral's name for it is "bacterial SSU rRNA". It matches the Rfam family "Bacterial small subunit ribosomal RNA", at positions 28 to 1381 of the family's 1533-position model. The record is from RNAcentral.
GACGAACGCUGGCGGCGUGCCUAAUACAUGCAAGUAGAACGCUGAAGAGAGGAGCUUGCUCUUCUUGGAUGAGUUGCGAACGGGUGAGUAACGCGUAGGUAACCUGCCUGGUAGCGGGGGAUAACUAUUGGAAACGAUAGCUAAUACCGCAUAAAAUUGAUUAUUGCAUGAUAAUUAAUUGAAAGAUGCAAUUGCAUCACUACCAGAUGGACCUGCGUUGUAUUAGCUAGUUGGUGAGGUAACGGCUCACCAAGGCGACGAUACAUAGCCGACCUGAGAGGGUGAUCGGCCACACUGGGACUGAGACACGGCCCAGACUCCUACGGGAGGCAGCAGUGGGGAAUCUUCGGCAAUGGGGGGAACCCUGACCGAGCAACGCCGCGUGAGUGAAGAAGGUUUUCGGAUCGUAAAGCUCUGUUGUAAGAGAAGAACGGGUGUGAGAGUGGAAAGUUCACACUGUGACGGUAUCUUACCAGAAAGGGACGGCUAACUACGUGCCAGCAGCCGCGGUAAUACGUAGGUCCCGAGCGUUGUCCGGAUUUAUUGGGCGUAAAGCGAGCGCAGGCGGUUAGAUAGUCUGAAGUUAAGGCUGUGGCUUAACCAUAGUAUGCUUUGGAAACUGUUUAACUUGAGUGCAGAAGGGGAGAGUGGAAUUCCAUGUGUAGCGGUGAAAUGCGUAGAUAUAUGGAGGAACACCGGUGGCGAAAGCGGCUCUCUGGUCUGUAACUGACGCUGAGGCUCGAAAGCGUGGGGAGCAAACAGGAUUAGAUACCCUGAUAGUCCACGCCGUAAACGAUGAGUGCUAGGUGUUAGGCCCUUUCCGGGGCUUAGUGCCGCAGCUAACGCAUUAAGCACUCCGCCUGGGGAGUACGACCGCAAGGUUGAAACUCAAAGGAAUUGACGGGGGCCCGCACAAGCGGUGGAGCAUGUGGUUUAAUUCGAAGCAACGCGAAGAACCUUACCAGGUCUUGACAUCCCUCUGACCGCUCUAGAGAUAGAGUUUUCCUUCGGGACAGAGGUGACAGGUGGUGCAUGGUUGUCGUCAGCUCGUGUCGUGAGAUGUUGGGUUAAGUCCCGCAACGAGCGCAACCCCUAUUGUUAGUUGCCAUCAUUGAGUUGGGCACUCUAGCGAGACUGCCGGUAAUAAACCGGAGGAAGGUGGGGAUGACGUCAAAUCAUCAUGCCCCUUAUGACCUGGGCUACACACGUGCUACAAUGGCUGGUACAACGAGUCGCAAGCCGGUGACGGCAAGCUAAUCUCUGAAAGCCAGUCUCAGUUCGGAUUGUAGGCUGCAACUCGCCUACAUGAAGUCGGAAUCGCUAGUAAUCGCGGAUCAGCACGCCGCGGUGAAUACGUUCCCGGGCCU